This 149-nucleotide ribosomal RNA is filed under the name Lysandra coridon. Its description in RNAcentral is "partial 12S ribosomal RNA". The record is from RNAcentral. Lineage: Eukaryota; Metazoa; Arthropoda; Insecta; Lepidoptera; Lycaenidae.
AAAAAAAAUUUUUAUAGUUUUGAUAUUUUAUUUUAAAUAUAAUUUACAUAUAAAUUUUAGUGUUAAAUUUUAUUUAUUUUAAUAAUAAAUAAAAUUAUUAAGUAGUAAUUAACUUUAAAUUAUUUAAGAAAUUAAGAUUUAGUAAUUUG